This 656-nucleotide long non-coding RNA is filed under the name Gopherus agassizii (Agassiz's desert tortoise). Its description in RNAcentral is "lncRNA (ENSGAGG00000003477.1)". The record is from RNAcentral. Lineage: Eukaryota; Metazoa; Chordata; Testudines; Testudinidae.
CCUGCCCGCCCCUGCCAGCGCGAAGGGACAGCUGAAGUCAUGGCCUCCUCCCCCUCUUUCAUUUCUUCCCUCUCGCUCUCAUCGGUCCCUCACUUUCUCCCCUACCUGGCACAGGGAGGCUGGUCUGUGACCAUCCCUAUUUCCCAUCUGGCUUUCCAGCAGCUCCCUCCCCCCUGAGGAUUAGGCCCCAGGGACCCCCCAGCCAUGGUGCUUAUCCAGAUCGCAAGCGUCAUCCUGGCUCUGCUCAGCUUGGUGCUGCUGGUGGUGGCCCUGGUCUCAGACAACUGGGUGAAGGUUAAUGAAGAAGAGGAGAGUCAUCUUGGGCUGUGGAAGAUCUGUGUGUCGCAGAUUUGCAUCUUGUGUCUAACCAGAGUACCAGGUUUCUUCCACACCAGCAGGUUUUUCAUGAUCCUGGCCAUGUUUGCCGGGUUCCUCUCCUUCUUCGCUCUCAUCGCCUCCUUCUUUUGCUCCCACUUUCGCUCCGUGUCUCUUCUCCUGGUCUCCACCGUGGGCAGCUUCAGUGCAGGUGUCUGCGCCAUUAUCGCGCUGGCCGUGUUCACCAAUGGUGAUUGCCAGCUCAUCAUGCCAGGAAUCCUCUCCUACGGUUGGUCCUACGGCCUGGGCUGGCUGUCCUUCUUCCUGUAUCUUGGAACUGG